UACGGAGGGUGCGAUCGUUACCCGGAUUUACUGGGUGUAAAGGGCGUGUAGGCGGUCUCUCAAGUCCGAUGCUAAAGACCGAAGCUCAACUUCGGGGGUGCGUUGGAUACUGUGAGGCUAGACGGUCGGAGAGGGGAGCGGAAUUUCCGGAGUAGCGGUGAAAUGCGCAGAUACCGGAAGGAACGCCAAUAGCGAAAGCAGCUAUCUGGACGAUUUGUGACGCUGACGCGCGAAAGCGUGGGGAGCAAACCGG
Molecule: ribosomal RNA, 253 nt
Filed under: uncultured bacterium
Lineage: Bacteria
Description: partial 16S ribosomal RNA
Rfam family: Bacterial small subunit ribosomal RNA
Source: RNAcentral